This 1753-nucleotide ribosomal RNA is filed under the name Retronectes sp. h NWVS-2023. RNAcentral's name for it is "partial large subunit ribosomal RNA". The record is from RNAcentral. Lineage: Eukaryota; Metazoa; Platyhelminthes; Retronectidae.
AGCAUAUCAGUAAGCGGAGGAAAAGAAACUAACAAGGAUUCCCUUAGUAACUGCGAGUGAAGAGGGAAAAGCCCAGCACCGAAUCCCUCAGCAGAGACGCUGACGGGAAGUGUGGUGUUAAGAUUGUUCUUUGUGCGUUAGUGUUCUGCCCAAGUCCUCUUGACUGGGGCUUGAUGGCCCAGAGUGGGUGUCAGGCCUUUAGCGGCGGAGCGCUGGCGUGCAUGGUUCAAUCGACGAGUCGGGUUGUUUGUGAGUACAACUCAAAGCAGGUGGUAAUCUCCAUCUAAGGCUAAAUAUGCGUACGAGUCCGAUAGCAAACAAGUACCGUGAGGGAAAGUUGCAAAGAACUUUGAAGAGAGAGUUCAAGAGUACGUGAAACCGCUAAGAGGGAAGCGGGUGAAGCCACGUGGUUGCGCUAGGAAUUCAACCGCUUGCGGGCGUCGCUAGUGCGCGUCGUAGCGUGCGGCUUCUGGUCGCUGUGCGUCGUGUAUUAGUUCGAAUGCUCGGGGUGGCGCAGUUUCUUAGCUGCAAUGAGCCACAAUCGGUUGUUCUGGCGGCUUGAAGCUUUCGGUGUCGGAAGCAGAGCUGCGUUGGUUUGCUUCGCAGUCUCGGCCYAUCCGCCGAUUGUUCACAGUGCGCUGGGCGAUCGAGGGCAGCUGCUCAAAGAGCUGAGGCGGCGUAUGCCGUGCGAAGCGGGGCUUGCGUUGUGGUCGGGCUAGUUCGGCGUCGUUUGGACUGGUUCUGCAGUGCUGGCGUCGUCGAGCUGGCUGUCUGGCUACGGGCUUGUCCGGAGAGCAAACGUACGACGCUGUUCCGUGGCGUGCUGGCCACUCACCCGUCCCGUCUUGAAACACGGACCAAGGAGUUCAUCUAGCGGGCGAGUCUAAGGGUGCAGCAAAACCCUAAGGCGUAGUGAAAGCAAAGUCCGCCCUUCGUUGGUGGAUGUGAUGGGAUCCUGGUGCGGCGAGAGCCGUCCGGGCGCACCAUCGUCUCGUCGAUGCCUCGUGCUGGCUCGGCGACGACAGANCCUGCUGGCUGAGACCCGAAAGAUGGUGAACUAUGCCAGAGCAGGGUGAAGCCAGAGGAAACUCUGGUGGAAGCCCGCAGCGAUUCUGACGUGCAAAUCGAUCGUCUGACUUUGGUAUAGGGGCGAAAGACUAAUCGAACCAUCUAGUAGCUGGUUCCCUCCGAAGUUUCCCUCAGGAUAGCUGGCGCUCGUCUGGAGGCAGUUGUACCCGGUAAAGCGAAUGAUUAGAGUGUUCUGGGUCGAAACGGCCUAAACCUAUUCUCAAACUGUAAAUGGGUACGAGGAUUGGCUCGCUUGAAUGGAGUCGGUCUACCUCUGCACGUACGAAUGCGUGGAGUGCCCAGUGGGCCACUUUUGGUAAGCAGAACUGGCGCUGUGGGAUGAACCAAACGCGCGGUUAAGGUGCCAAACGCGGACGCUCAUCGGAAACCACAAAAGGUGUUGGUUGAUAUAGACAGCAGGACGGUGGUCAUGGAAGUCGAAAUCCGCUAAGGAGUGUGUAACAACUCACCUGCCGAAUCAACCAGCCCUGAAAAUGGAUAGCGCUCGAGCGUCGGACCUAUACCGUGCCGUCACGGGAGAAUUGCAGAAGCAGCCCGUGGCGAGUAGGAGGGCGCCGUGGUGAACGUCGAAGCCUAGGGCGCGAGCCCGGGUGGAGUCGCCACGAAUGCAGAUCUUGGUGGUAGUAGCAAGUAUUCAAGUGAGAACCUUGAAGACUGAUGUGUG